This 253-nucleotide ribosomal RNA is filed under the name uncultured bacterium. Its description in RNAcentral is "partial 16S ribosomal RNA". It matches the Rfam family "Bacterial small subunit ribosomal RNA", at positions 524 to 776 of the family's 1533-position model. The record is from RNAcentral.
UACGAAGGGUGCAAGCGUUACUCGGAAUUACUGGGCGUAAAGCGUGCGUAGGUGGUUUGUUAAGUCUGUUGUGAAAGCCCCGGGCUCAACCUGGGAAUGGCAAUGGAUACUGGCAAGCUAGAGUGCGGUAGAGGGUAGUGGAAUUCCCGGUGUAGCGGUGAAAUGCGUAGAGAUCGGGAGGAACACCAGUGGCGAAGGCGGCUACCUGGACCAGCCCUGACACUGAGGCACGAAAGCGUGGGGAGCAAACAGG